Molecule: ribosomal RNA, 244 nt
Filed under: uncultured bacterium
Lineage: Bacteria
Description: partial 16S ribosomal RNA
Rfam family: Bacterial small subunit ribosomal RNA
Source: RNAcentral
GCGAGGUGGAGCGAAUCUCCAAAAAUUAGUCCCAGUUCAGAUUGCAGGCUGCAACUCGCCUGCAUGAAGUCGGAAUUGCUAGUAAUCGUGGAUCAGCAUGCCACGGUGAAUACGUUCCCGGGCCUUGUACACACCGCCCGUCACACCAUGGGAGUCGGUAACACCCGAAGCCUGUAGUCUAACCGCAAGGAGGACGCAGUCGAAGGUGGGAUUGAUGACUGGGGUGAAGUCGUAACAAGGUAUC